RNAcentral lists this ribosomal RNA (378 nucleotides) under uncultured organism. RNAcentral describes it as "partial 16S ribosomal RNA". It matches the Rfam family "Bacterial small subunit ribosomal RNA", at positions 525 to 896 of the family's 1533-position model. The record is from RNAcentral.
AGAGGGGGUGCAAGCGUUUAAAUCGGGACUUACUGGGCGUAAAGGGCGCGUAGGUGGUAAUAUAAGUGAGCUGUGAAAUACCCGGGCUUAACCUGGGGGAGUCAGCUUAAACUGUGUAACUAGAGUAUGGUAGAGGGAAGUGGAAUUUCCGGUGUAGCGGUGAAAUGCGUAGAUAUCGGAAGGAACACCAGUGGCGAAGGCGGCUUUCUGGACCAAUACUGACACUGAGGCGCGAAAGCGUGGGUAGCGAACAGGAUUAGAUACCCUGGUAGUCCACGCCGUAAACGAUGAGUACUAGGAUGUUGGUUUGCGUAAGCGAAUCAGUAUCGAAGCAAACGCGAUAAGUACUCCGCCUGGGGAUUACGACCGCAAAGGUUA